AACGAACGCUGGCGGCAUGCCUAACACAUGCAAGUCGAACGAGACCUUCGGGUCUAGUGGCGCACGGGUGCGUAACGCGUGGGAACCUGCCCUUAGGUUCGGAAUAACUCCCCGAAAGGGGUGCUAAUAACGGAUAAUGUCUUCGGACCAAAGAUUUAUCGCCUUUGGAUGGGCCCGCGUUGGAUUAGCUAGUUGGUAGGGUAAAAGCCUACCAAGGCGACGAUCCAUAGCUGGUCUGAGAGGAUGAUCAGCCACACUGGGACUGAGACACGGCCCAGACUCCUACGGGAGGCAGCAGUGGGGAAUAUUGGACAAUGGGCGAAAGCCUGAUCCAGCAAUGCCGCGUGAGUGAUGAAGGCCUUAGGGUUGUAAAGCUCUUUUACCCGGGAUGAUAAUGACAGUACCGGGAGAAUAAGCACCGGCUAACUCCGUG
This 433-nucleotide ribosomal RNA is filed under the name uncultured bacterium. RNAcentral describes it as "partial 16S ribosomal RNA". It matches the Rfam family "Bacterial small subunit ribosomal RNA", at positions 29 to 507 of the family's 1533-position model. The record is from RNAcentral.